Molecule: ribosomal RNA, 329 nt
Filed under: uncultured soil bacterium
Lineage: Bacteria
Description: bacterial SSU rRNA
Rfam family: Bacterial small subunit ribosomal RNA
Source: RNAcentral
AGAACGAACGCUGGCGGCAUGCCUAAUACAUGCAAGUCGAACGAGAUCUUCGGGUCUAGUGGCGCACGGGUGCGUAACGCGUGGGAAUCUACCCUUGGGUUCGGAAUAACAGUUGGAAACGACUGCUAAUACCGGAUGAUGACGAAAGUCCAAAGAUUUAUCGCCCAAGGAUGAGCCCGCGUAGGAUUAGCUAGUUGGUGAGUAAAGGCUCACCAAGGCAACGAUCCUUAGCUGGUCUGAGAGGAUGAUCAGCCACACUGGGACUGAGACACGGCCCAGACUCCUACGGGAGGCAGCAGUAGGGAAUAUUGGACAAUGGGCGAAAAGCC